GAUGAAGAACGCAGCGAAAUGCGCUAAGUAAUGUGAAUUGCAGAAUUCAGUGAAUCAUCGAAUCUUUGAACGCACAUUGCGCCCAUUAGUAUUCUAGUGGGCAUGCCUGUUCGAGCGUCAUUAAGUCCACUUAAGCCCUGCUUAGUGUUGGGAGACUGCUCCAGCGGUGCUACCCUGUAGCUACCCUGCAGCUCCUCAAAGACAGCGGCGGAGUUGUGGUAUCCUCUGAGCUUAGUAACUUGUUCUAGCUUUCGAGUACACCACUUCCCCUGCCGUAAAACCCUUAAUUUUUAAUGGUUGACCUCGGAUCAGGUAGGAAUACCCGCUGAACUUAAGCAUAUCAAUAAGCGGAGGA
Molecule: unclassified non-coding RNA, 355 nt
Filed under: soil metagenome
Description: partial contains 5.8S ribosomal RNA, internal transcribed spacer 2, and large subunit ribosomal RNA
Rfam family: 5.8S ribosomal RNA (bases 1-120)
Source: RNAcentral